GAAGAUAUAGCUCAGUGGUAGAAUGCCUGCCUGGCAUGCACAAGGUCCUGGGUUCAAUCCCCAGUACCUCUA
This 72-nucleotide transfer RNA is filed under the name Camelus bactrianus (Bactrian camel). It matches the Rfam family "tRNA". From Rfam's summary of the family: Transfer RNA (tRNA) molecules are approximately 80 nucleotides in length. Lineage: Eukaryota; Metazoa; Chordata; Mammalia; Artiodactyla; Camelidae. RNAcentral also lists the same sequence under 2 other names. The record is from Rfam by way of RNAcentral.